GGACCUGACUGCUAUCGGAUUGAUACUAAGCCAUGCGAGUCAUUGUAGCAAUACAAGGCAUACGGCUCAGUAACGCGUAGUCAACCUACCCUAUGGACGGGAAUAACCUCGGGAAACUGAGAAUAAUGCCCGAUAGAACAUUAUGCCUGGAAUGGUUUAUGUUCCAAAUGAUUUAUCGCCGUAGGAUGGGACUGCGGCCUAUCAGUUUGUUGGUGAGGUAAUGGCCCACCAAGACUAUUACAGGUACGGGCUCUGAGAGGAGUGGCCCGGAGAUGGGUACUGAGACACGGACCCAGGCCCUAUGGGGCGCAGCAGGCGAGAAAACUUUGCAAUGUGCGAAAGCACGACAAGGUUAAUCCGAGUGGUUUCUGCUAAAGAAACCUUUUGUCAGUCCUAGAAACACUGAUGAAUAAGGGGUGGGCAAGUUCUGGUGU
Molecule: ribosomal RNA, 434 nt
Filed under: uncultured archaeon
Lineage: Archaea
Description: bacterial SSU rRNA
Rfam family: Archaeal small subunit ribosomal RNA
Source: RNAcentral